UUAUUGGAAUAAAUUAAUUAAUUUUUAAUUAAUUAUAAUAAUGAUUGAAUUAGUAUAUUUUAAAAUUAAGUUAUAGGAACUCGGCAAUUUGAAUGUUCGCCUGUUUAACAAAAACAUGUCCUUUUGUUGAUUUAUUUAAGGUUUAACCUGCCCAAUGAUUUAUUUAAUGGCCGCGGUAUUUUAACCGUGCUAAGGUAGCAUAAUCACUUGUCUUUUAAUUGAGGGCUAGAAUGAAAGGUUGGACGAGGUAUUAUCUUUCUUUAAUUUAAUUAUUGAAUUUAAUUUUUAGGUUAAAAAGCUUAAAUUUAUUUGUUGGACGAGAAGACCCUAUAGAUCUUAACAUUUAAUUUAAUUGUGGUUUUUAGUGAUUAAUAUAUUAUUAUUAAUCAUGUGUUUGAUUGGGGUGAUUGUAGAAUUAUAAUAACUUCUAUUUGUGUUUUUCAUUAAUUAGUGUUUUAUUGAUCCAUUUAUAAUGAUUAUAAGAUUAAGUUACCUUAGGGAUAACAGCGUAAUUUUUUCGGAGAGUUCAUAUCGAUGAAUAAGUUUGCGACCUCGAUGUUGGAUUAAAAUUAGUUCUGGGUGAAGAAGUUCAUGGACUAGGUCUGUUCGACCUUUAAAUUUUUACAUGAUCUGAGUUCAGACCGGCGUGAGCCAGGUCAGUUUCUAUCUUCAACUUAUUAUUACAUAUUAGUACGAAAGGACCAUAUGUUUGGAAAAUUUUCUUUAUUUAUGUAUAACAUUGCUA
RNAcentral lists this ribosomal RNA (745 nucleotides) under Stenopoda sp. UCR ENT 00004061. RNAcentral describes it as "partial large subunit ribosomal RNA". It matches the Rfam family "Bacterial large subunit ribosomal RNA", at positions 1689 to 2737 of the family's 2925-position model. Lineage: Eukaryota; Metazoa; Arthropoda; Insecta; Hemiptera; Reduviidae. The record is from RNAcentral.